Molecule: long non-coding RNA, 304 nt
Filed under: Ornithorhynchus anatinus (platypus)
Lineage: Eukaryota; Metazoa; Chordata; Mammalia; Monotremata; Ornithorhynchidae
Description: lncRNA (ENSOANG00000048307.1)
Source: RNAcentral
UUUUACCGUUGUGGAGCGUAAAAGCUAAGGCUGUAAAUAUUUGUUUUGGGCAGAUUGAUGGUAUCAAGUGGAAACUCCACAGUGGAAGACGAUCCAUCGUCACCAGAUGAUCUGUUCUCCCACUGGGUUCGAGUAGCAGCCGCUCCCUGUGUUGAACAACAGUUACUUGACUCCAGCCUUUGGUUUGGGACUGUUGAACUGCCAGUUAGAAGAGCUGCCGUGGCUUUCUGGAAAGCUUCGAGAGCUGUGGAGCUGCCCAUUUGGAUUGGUGAGUUGUCAUUUUUACCCACCUACUGAAAAGCUC